ACUCCUACGGGAGGCAGCAGUGGGGAAUAUUGCACAAUGGGCGCAAGCCUGAUGCAGCCAUGCCGCGUGUGUGAAGAAGGCCUUCGGGUUGUAAAGCACUUUCAGUCGUGAGGAAGGUAGUGUAGUUAAUAGCUGCAUUAUUUGACGUUAGCGACAGAAGAAGCACCGGCUAACUCCGUGCCAGCAGCCGCGGUAAUACGGAGGGUGCGAGCGUUAAUCGGAAUUACUGGGCGUAAAGCGCAUGCAGGUGGUUUGUUAAGUCAGAUGUGAAAGCCCGGGGCUCAACCUCGGAAUUGCAUUUGAAACUGGCAGACUAGAGUACUGUAGAGGGGGGUAGAAUUUCAGGUGUAGCGGUGAAAUGCGUAGAGAUCUGAAGGAAUACCGGUGGCGAAGGCGGCCCCCUGGACAGAUACUGACACUCAGAUGCGAAAGCGUGGGGAGCAAACAGGAUUAGAUACCCUGGUAGCACAGAG
RNAcentral lists this ribosomal RNA (473 nucleotides) under uncultured bacterium. RNAcentral describes it as "bacterial SSU rRNA". It matches the Rfam family "Bacterial small subunit ribosomal RNA", at positions 335 to 799 of the family's 1533-position model. The record is from RNAcentral.